This 468-nucleotide ribosomal RNA is filed under the name uncultured bacterium. RNAcentral's name for it is "partial 16S ribosomal RNA". It matches the Rfam family "Bacterial small subunit ribosomal RNA", at positions 28 to 507 of the family's 1533-position model. The record is from RNAcentral.
GACGAACGCUGGCGGCGUGCUUAACACAUGCAAGUCGAACGGAAAGGCCCUGCUUUUGUGGGGUGCUCGAGUGGCGAACGGGUGAGUAACAUGUGAGUAACCUGCCCUUGACUUUGGGAUAACUUCAGGGAACUGGGGCUAAUACCGGAUAGGUGCUCCUGCUGCAUGGUGGGGGCUGGAAAUUUUCGGCGGUUGGGGAUGGACUCGCGGCUUAUCAGCUUGCCGGUGGGGUAGUGGCUUACCAAGGCUUUGCGGGGUAGCCGGCCUGCGAGGGUGACCGGACACAUUGGGACUGAGAUGCGACCCGGACUCAUACGGUAGGCAGCGGUGGAGAGUAUAGCACAAUGGGCGGAGGCCUGAUGCAGCAACGCCGCGUGCGGGAUGAGAGCCUUCGGGUUGUAAACCGCAUUCGCCUGUGACAAAGCGUGAGUGACGGUAAUGGGUAAAGAAGCACCGGCUAACUACGUG